Molecule: unclassified non-coding RNA, 472 nt
Filed under: Candida albicans
Lineage: Eukaryota; Fungi; Ascomycota; Pichiomycetes; Serinales; Debaryomycetaceae
Description: sequence contains 18S rRNA gene, ITS1, 5.8S rRNA gene, ITS2, 28S rRNA gene
Rfam family: 5.8S ribosomal RNA (bases 148-301)
Source: RNAcentral
GAUCAUUACUGAUUUGCUUAAUUGCACCACAUGUGUUUUUCUUUGAAACAAACUUGCUUUGGCGGUGGGCCCAGCCUGCCGCCAGAGGUCUAAACUUACAACCAAUUUUUUAUCAACUUGUCACACCAGAUUAUUACUAAUAGUCAAAACUUUCAACAACGGAUCUCUUGGUUCUCGCAUCGAUGAAGAACGCAGCGAAAUGCGAUACGUAAUAUGAAUUGCAGAUAUUCGUGAAUCAUCGAAUCUUUGAACGCACAUUGCGCCCUCUGGUAUUCCGGAGGGCAUGCCUGUUUGAGCGUCGUUUCUCCCUCAAACCGCUGGGUUUGGUGUUGAGCAAUACGACUUGGGUUUGCUUGAAAGACGGUAGUGGUAAGGCGGGAUCGCUUUGACAAUGGCUUAGGUCUAACCAAAAACAUUGCUUGCGGCGGCAACGUCUACCACGUAUAUCUUCAAACUUUGACCUCAAAUCAGG